GACGAACGCUGGCGGCGUGCCUAAUACAUGCAAGUAGAACGCUGAAGGAGGAGCUUGCUUCUCUGGAUGAGUUGCGAACGGGUGAGUAACGCGUAGGUAACCUGCCUGGUAGCGGGGGAUAACUAUUGGAAACGAUAGCUAAUACCGCAUAAGAGUAGAUGUUGCAUGACAUUUGCUUAAAAGGUGCAAUUGCAUCACUACCAGAUGGACCUGCGUUGUAUUAGCUAGUUGGUGGGGUAACGGCUUACCAAGGCGACGAUACAUAGCCGACCUGAGAGGGUGAUCGGCCACACUGGGACUGAGACACGUCCCAGACUCCUACGGGAGGCAGCAGUAGGGAAUCUUCGGCAAUGGACGGAAGUCUGACCGAGCAACGCCGCGUGAGUGAAGAAGGUUUUCGGAUCGUAAAGCUCUGUUGUAAGAGAAGAACGAGUGUGAGAGUGGAAAGUUCACACUGUGACGGUAUCUUACCAGAAAGGGACGGCUAACUACGUG
RNAcentral lists this ribosomal RNA (495 nucleotides) under uncultured bacterium. Its description in RNAcentral is "partial 16S ribosomal RNA". It matches the Rfam family "Bacterial small subunit ribosomal RNA", at positions 28 to 507 of the family's 1533-position model. The record is from RNAcentral.